Long non-coding RNA from Notothenia coriiceps (black rockcod), 436 nucleotides. RefSeq lists it as uncharacterized. Lineage: Eukaryota; Metazoa; Chordata; Actinopteri; Perciformes; Nototheniidae. The record is from RefSeq and is a predicted model, not a curated record. The transcript has 2 exons.
UCUCUGCUCACCACCAGGCACGCGCAGCGUAGCAGGAGAAAAGAGAAAACGGAGCUAGACGCAGAUGAGACGAGCGGAGUAAAUUAUAUUAAAAGUGAUUCAAAGUUGAUUUAAAAAAGAUAAAAAAUACCAUCCACACGGUCGGGAAACCCAGUAGACGGUAUAGAACAUUAACCAACGGUGUUUUGGUCAGGUUUUUUGGACUGGAUAAGAAAGUUGAUCGUGAGUGAGAGGACAACACACACACGCGCUCUGAUACAAGAUGGCGAGCCAGACCCACGGACUGCUUUGAUCUUCGCGCCAGUGAGAGGACUUGCUGGUUUAUCAAGAGACAAUAGCUGAACUCACUGCCAGAGUGGUAGGAGUAUUGAAGAAAUUAUAAGGUUGGAACUGGAUUUAAGUUGUACCUGGAUUUAAAGAGACACUAUAUAUUGUA